AACGAACGCUGGCGGCAUGCCUAACACAUGCAAGUCGAACGAGACCUUCGGGUCUAGUGGCGCACGGGUGCGUAACGCGUGGGAACCUGCCCUUAGGUUCGGAAUAACUCCCCGAAAGGGGUGCUAAUACCGGAUAAUGUCUUCGGACCAAAGAUUUAUCGCCUUUGGAUGGGCCCGCGUUGGAUUAGCUAGUUGGUAGGGUAAAAGCCUACCAAGGCGACGAUCCAUAGCUGGUCUGAGAGGAUGAUCAGCCACACUGGGACUGAGACACGGCCCAGACUCCUACGGGAGGCAGGAGUGGGGAAUAUUGGGAAAUGGGCGAAAGGCUGAUCCAGCCAUGCCGCGGGAGUGAUGAAGGCCUUAGGGUUGUAAAGCUCUUUUACCCGGGAUGAUAAUGACAGUACCGGGAGAAUAAGCGCCGGCUAACUCCGUG
RNAcentral lists this ribosomal RNA (433 nucleotides) under uncultured bacterium. RNAcentral describes it as "partial 16S ribosomal RNA". It matches the Rfam family "Bacterial small subunit ribosomal RNA", at positions 29 to 507 of the family's 1533-position model. The record is from RNAcentral.